This 570-nucleotide long non-coding RNA is filed under the name Homo sapiens (human). RNAcentral's name for it is "non-protein coding lnc-FAM96A-1:1". Lineage: Eukaryota; Metazoa; Chordata; Mammalia; Primates; Hominidae. The record is from RNAcentral.
AUUGCGUGCAGCCAUACAGCAGACUUUAGAGAGAGGGGUGUCAGAGAGGGGCUCCCUACACCAGUCCUCCUGAGGGGGGUAGGGAACUGUGAGCUGGCCGGAUGCAAAACGGUAUAGUACAGUGGUCUCUUGUAACUCAGGCUGUAGACUGAGAGCAAAAUGAACUUGGUUAAAAGCAAGAAAGCCUCCUCCACCACAGCAGCACCCUAGACAAGCUGGUGGUUUCUAAAAGUGGCCAGUUUGCCAUCGUGAAGAAGUGCCGGGAGAAGAGCACGGGGCUUGAGUAUGCAGCCAAGUUCAUCAAGAAGCGGCAGAGCCGGGCGAGCCGGCGCGGUGUGAGCCGGGAGGAGAUCGAGCGGGAGAGUGUCUGGAGGAGAGCUCUUCGAUUUCCUGGCCCAGAAGGAGUCACUGAGUGAGGAGGAGGCCACCAGCUUCAUUAAGCAGAUCCUGGAUGGGGUGAACUACCUUCACACAAAGAAAAUUGCUCACUUUGAUCUCAAGCCAGAAAACAUUAUGUUGUUAGACAAGAAUAUUCCCAUUCCACACAUCAAGCUGAUUGACUUUGGUCUG